AACGAACGCUGGCGGCAUGCCUAACACAUGCAAGUCGAACGAGACCUUCGGGUCUAGUGGCGCACGGGUGCGUAACGCGUGGGAACCUGCCCUUAGGUUCGGAAUAACUCCCCGAAAGGGGUGCUAAUACCGGAUAAUGUCUUCGGACCAAAGAUUUAUCGCCUUUGGAUGGGCCCGCGUUGGAUUAGCUAGUUGGUAGGGUAAAAGCCUACCAAGGCGACGAUCCAUAGCUCGUCUGAGAGGAUGAUCAGCCACACUGGGACUGAGACACGGCCCAGACUCCUACGGGAGGCAGCAGUAGGGAAUAUUGGACAAUGGGCGAAAGCCUGAUCCAGCAAUGCCGCGUGAGUGAUGAAGGCCUUAGGGUUGUAAAGCUCUUUUACCCGGGAUGAUAAUGACAGUACCGGGAGAAUAAGCUCCGGCUAACUCCGUG
Molecule: ribosomal RNA, 433 nt
Filed under: uncultured bacterium
Lineage: Bacteria
Description: partial 16S ribosomal RNA
Rfam family: Bacterial small subunit ribosomal RNA
Source: RNAcentral